RNAcentral lists this long non-coding RNA (950 nucleotides) under Monodelphis domestica (gray short-tailed opossum). RNAcentral's name for it is "lncRNA (ENSMODG00000041333.1)". Lineage: Eukaryota; Metazoa; Chordata; Mammalia; Didelphimorphia; Didelphidae. The record is from RNAcentral.
CCAAGUUUAAGUCACAAUUGCUACAUGUAAGACACAGGAAAUGACAUAAAGAACUGCCUUUAUAUUUCAUGUCACUUCCUGUGAGAGGGACUUGGCAGUGCAACUUGACCCUGGAGGAGCUCAGCAUGAGAUCUCAGACUCCUUUCCUUUAGGAGGUCAUGUGCCAUGGUACAUAUUUCCAGACAAGUUGGAAUUCCUUAAUACUAUGAUGCUGAUUAAGAUAUGGGGUUCCCUGAUGGAGCUGUUUCUUUCUUCAGUGAAACCAGAUAUACAUGCUGUUGGAGAGCUCCAGUCUGCUGCUAUCCAUAUCUGUUGAAUGACUAUUGAAAUAUGGGCAAUUGACAACCUUCACCUACUUAGUCUUUCUUUAGUGGCAUGACAGAAGAAAUUCUUCUAAUUACCCAUCUGUUCCAGGAGGUUCUGCAGUGUUUUAGGGACAAAGACUACAUAUAAGUUUAUACCAAAAUAGACACUUCCUCCCCACCACUACAUUAACCAUUAUGUGUGGAUAUAACAUUUUCUAUCUUGGUAUAAUACACUUCUUAAAGCUAUUUCAACAAUGCUAGGGGAAUGCUAAUGAAGACAUCUCAUUUGCAGCAGAGCUCAGGAUACUUUGCUUAUGAACCCUCUUAGAGUGUGUACAUGACUUUGAGACCACCUGUUCUACUAAUGAAUUACAUGACAAGGUUGAAUUGUUAGAUUCUUUUGGAAUGAUAAGAGGAAACACUAUGGCAAUUUUUUUUCUAAUUAAACAUUUAUUUAUUAAGAGCCAAUUAUGUAUAAAGCAUUUGGAAAGAUGAAGACAAAAUGUUAAGCACAAGAAAUGUCUUUCAGAAGCACAACCUAAAGGGGUAGUAAGAUAUUCACAAAAUGUAGUAAGACAUUUGGACUGAGAAUUAGCUUUGGACUCAGGAAGACCUGAGGUCAGGUUUUGCUUCUGACAUAUGACA